CACCGCAAGAAUGAGCGCAGGGUGGAUGCCUUGGCGUUGGCGGCCGAAGAAGGACGCGGCCACGCGGCGAAACGCUCCGGGGAGGCGCUGGCGGCCUGGGAUCCGGAGGAGUCCGAAUGGGGCAACCCGCCCGACGCACGGUCGGGCACCUGCGUGUGAGCGCAGGGGGGCACCGGGGGAAGUGAAACAUCUGAGUACCCCGAGGAGAAGAGAGGAUUCCCUCAGUAGCGGCGAGCGAAGGGGGAGGAGCCCAAACCGUUCUGGUGGCACAGCCUGCCGGCGAUGCCAGGGCGGGGUUGAACGAGCGAUGGGGAGCCUGCGGCAGCGGGCUCACCGGGACACCGAUGUUCCAGCCGAAGGUCGCUGGAACGGACCGCCACAGGGGGUGAGAGCCCCGUAGGCGACGGGGCAUCGGGCCGGGGCCAUCGGAUCGUGAGUAAUUCCGGACACGCGGAAUCCGGGGUGAAGCGGGGGCGACCACGUCCCAAGGCUAAACACCGCCAACGACCGAUAGUGAACCAGUACCGUGAGGGAACGGUGAAAAGCACCCCGGCGAGGGGAGUGAAACAGAUCCUGAAACCGUGCGCUUCCGGCCGGUCGGAGCCUGGGGGAGACCCUGGGUGACGGCGUGCCUUUUGUAGAAUGAGCCGACGAGUGCGUGGGGGCGGCGAGGCUAAGCCAGGGACAGGCGGAGCCGGAGCGAAAGCGAGUCCGCAAGGGCGCUGAGUCGUUGUCAUGCGACCCGAAACCGGGUGAUCUAGCCGUGGCCAGGCUGAAGCGGGCGGAACACGCUCGUGGAGGGCCGAACCGGGAUCUGUUGCAAAAGGUCCGGAUGAGCUGCGGCUAGCGGUGAAAUGCCAAGCGAACCCGGAGAUAGCUGGUUCUCCCCGAAAUGCAUUUGGGUGCAGCCCCGGCGCGGGGCGCCGCGGAGGUAGCGCGCUGGAUCGGCGAGGGGGCUUGCCGCUUACCGACCCGAACCAAACGCCGAAUGCCGCGGAGCGGGUGCCGGGCGUGAGACGGCGGGUGCGAAGAUUCGUCGUCGAGAGGGAAACAGCCCAGACCGCCGGCUAAGGUCCCCAACUGCGGGCUAAGUGGGCAAGGAGGUCGCGGCGCAGAGACAACCAGGAGGUUGGCUUAGAAGCAGCCAUCCUUGAAAGAGUGCGUAAUAGCUCACUGGUCGAAUGUGCCGCGGCGCCGACAAUCCACCGGGGCUCAAGCCCGCGACCGAAGCCGCGGAUGGCCGCAAGGUCAUGGUAGGGGAGCGUCCCCGUCAGCAGUGAAGCCGGCCUGGGAGGGCGGGUGGAGCGGCGGGGAGUGCGAAUGUCGGCAUGAGUAGCGCGAGGGGGGCGCGAAUCCCCCCCACCGAAUGCCCGAGGGUUCCGCAGCCAUGCUGAUCAGCUGCGGGUGAGGCGGGCCUAAGCCGAGGGCUGGGGCCGUAGGCGAUGGACAACGGGUCAAGAUUCCCGUUCCGCGCGGCGCCGCUGCCAGGGGAACCUGGUGAGAGCGAUGGGGGGACGCGGGGGGCUAGGUGCUGGGGUGAUGAGCCCUCCAACCCGGUAGGGAGUUCCGGCAGGCAAAUCCGCCGGAGCGUGAAACCUGAGAGGGGAGUGUAAGGGGAGGACGCGAGUCCGAACCGUAGGCAUUGAGGCCGGACCGCCGAGAAAAGCCUCUAGCGAGGGGCCGCGCGCCCGUACCGCAAACCGACACAGGUGGGCUGGUCGAGGAGACCCAGGUGGACGAGAGACCCUCCGUCAAGGAACUCGGCAACUUAGCCCCGUAACUUCGGGAGAAGGGGCGCCCCGGUAGCGUGAACGCCGGUUCCGGCGGGAGCGUGAGGGGGCCGCAGUGACCAGGCCCAGGCGUCUGUUUACCAAAAACACCGGUCCCUGCCAACGCGGUGAGCGUGGACGUAUAGGGGCUGAGACCUGCCCAGUGCCGGAAGGUUAAGGGGAGGGGUGCGAGCUCCGAACCGAAGCCCCGGUAAACGGCGGCUGUAACUAUAACAGUCCUAAGGUAGCGAAAUUCCUUGUCGGGUAAGUUCCGACCCGCACGAAAGGUAGAACGAUCUGGGCGCUGUCUCGACGGGGGACUCGGCGAAAUUGAAGUGCCGGUGAAGAUGCCGGCGACCCGCGGCAGGACAAAAAGACCCCGUGGAGCUUUACUCCAGCUUGCCGUUGGGCGAGGGUGCGGCUUGUGUAGGAUAGGUGGGAGCCGGAGAACCCGGGGCGCCAGCCCUGGGGGAGGCGACGUUGAAAUACCACCCUGGCGGCGCCGUCGUCCUCACGUCUGACAGUGAGCCUGCAGACGGACCGCGGCUGGCGGGGAGUUUGACUGGGGCGGUCGCCUCCCAAACAGUAACGGAGGCGCCCAAUGGUUCCCUCAGGCCGGAUGGCAAUCGGCCGGAGCGCGCAAGGGCAGCAAGGGAGCUUGACUGCGAGGCGGACAGGCCGAGCAGGGGCGAAAGCCGGGCCUAGUGAUCCCACGGCGCCGAGUGGAAGGGCCGUGGCUUAACGGAUAAAAGCUACCCCGGGGAUAACAGGCUGAUCCUGCCCAAGAGUCCAUAUCGACGGCAGGGUUUGGCACCUCGAUGUCGGCUCGUCGCAUCCUGGGGCCGGAGAAGGUCCCAAGGGUUGGGCUGU
RNAcentral lists this ribosomal RNA (2639 nucleotides) under sediment metagenome. Its description in RNAcentral is "bacterial LSU rRNA". It matches the Rfam family "Bacterial large subunit ribosomal RNA", at positions 1 to 2580 of the family's 2925-position model. The record is from RNAcentral.